RNAcentral lists this ribosomal RNA (463 nucleotides) under uncultured bacterium. RNAcentral's name for it is "bacterial SSU rRNA". It matches the Rfam family "Bacterial small subunit ribosomal RNA", at positions 28 to 507 of the family's 1533-position model. The record is from RNAcentral.
GACGAACGCUGGCGGCGUGCCUAACACAUGCAAGUCGAACGAAGAAUGUUUUUCGGAAUAUUCUUAGUGGCGGACGGGUGAGUAACGCGUGAACAAUCUGCCCCGUACAAAGGGAUAGCCUCGGGAAACCGGGAUUAAAACCAUAUAACGCUUUAGUACCGCAUGGUAAUAAAGUCAAAUCGAUUAAGAGGUAUGGGAUGAGUUCGCGUCUGAUUAGCUAGUUGGUGAGGUAAGGGCUCACCAAGGCGACGAUCAGUAGCCGGCCUGAGAGGGUGAACGGCCACACUGGAACUGAGACACGGUCCAGACUCCUACGGGAGGCAGCAGUGGGGAAUAUUGCACAAUGGAGGGAACUCUGAUGCAGCGACGCCGCGUGAGUGAAGAAGGUCUUCGGAUCGUAAAACUCUGUCCUUGGUGAAGAAAAGGACGGUAGCCAAGGAGGAAGCCCCGGGCUAACUACGUG